AGCCCCUUCCACCCCAGGCCUCGCUGUCUCUAGCACUGCUGCUGCAUGGCAGCAGGGAAGGCAUCAUUUGAACAGCCUCGAGAGUUGCUGGGCUUACAGGUGUGCACAUUGUGUAGGGUGUCUGCAUGGGGGCUGACGCAGGAGAGGGCUCUGGAUUUCCCAAGAGAGCAUCUACAGUCCUGGAAGCUGACCCGGCAGGUGAGGAGUGGAAGCUCUCCUUUGGUGAUUGAAGGCUGUGUGUCCUUCUCAGUCUGC
This 255-nucleotide long non-coding RNA is filed under the name Ictidomys tridecemlineatus (thirteen-lined ground squirrel). RNAcentral describes it as "lncRNA (ENSSTOG00000029802.1)". Lineage: Eukaryota; Metazoa; Chordata; Mammalia; Rodentia; Sciuridae. The record is from RNAcentral.